Molecule: transfer RNA, 65 nt
Filed under: Sisyra nigra
Lineage: Eukaryota; Metazoa; Arthropoda; Insecta; Neuroptera; Sisyridae
Description: tRNA-Thr
Rfam family: tRNA
About the family: Transfer RNA (tRNA) molecules are approximately 80 nucleotides in length. Their secondary structure includes four short double-helical elements and three loops (D, anti-codon, and T loops).
Source: RNAcentral
GUUUAAAUAGUUUAAAAAAAACUUUAGUUUUGUAAACUAAAAUUAAGAAUUUUUCUUUUUAAACU